Molecule: ribosomal RNA, 1558 nt
Filed under: Salmonella enterica subsp. enterica serovar Manhattan str. SA20034532
Lineage: Bacteria; Pseudomonadati; Pseudomonadota; Gammaproteobacteria; Enterobacterales; Enterobacteriaceae
Description: bacterial SSU rRNA
Rfam family: Bacterial small subunit ribosomal RNA
Source: RNAcentral
ACUUAAAUUGAAGAGUUUGAUCAUGGCUCAGAUUGAACGCUGGCGGCAGGCCUAACACAUGCAAGUCGAACGGUAACAGGAAGCAGCUUGCUGCUUCGCUGACGAGUGGCGGACGGGUGAGUAAUGUCUGGGAAACUGCCUGAUGGAGGGGGAUAACUACUGGAAACGGUGGCUAAUACCGCAUAACGUCGCAAGACCAAAGAGGGGGACCUUCGGGCCUCUUGCCAUCAGAUGUGCCCAGAUGGGAUUAGCUAGUUGGUGAGGUAACGGCUCACCAAGGCGACGAUCCCUAGCUGGUCUGAGAGGAUGACCAGCCACACUGGAACUGAGACACGGUCCAGACUCCUACGGGAGGCAGCAGUGGGGAAUAUUGCACAAUGGGCGCAAGCCUGAUGCAGCCAUGCCGCGUGUAUGAAGAAGGCCUUCGGGUUGUAAAGUACUUUCAGCGGGGAGGAAGGUGUUGUGGUUAAUAACCGCAGCAAUUGACGUUACCCGCAGAAGAAGCACCGGCUAACUCCGUGCCAGCAGCCGCGGUAAUACGGAGGGUGCAAGCGUUAAUCGGAAUUACUGGGCGUAAAGCGCACGCAGGCGGUCUGUCAAGUCGGAUGUGAAAUCCCCGGGCUCAACCUGGGAACUGCAUUCGAAACUGGCAGGCUUGAGUCUUGUAGAGGGGGGUAGAAUUCCAGGUGUAGCGGUGAAAUGCGUAGAGAUCUGGAGGAAUACCGGUGGCGAAGGCGGCCCCCUGGACAAAGACUGACGCUCAGGUGCGAAAGCGUGGGGAGCAAACAGGAUUAGAUACCCUGGUAGUCCACGCCGUAAACGAUGUCUACUUGGAGGUUGUGCCCUUGAGGCGUGGCUUCCGGAGCUAACGCGUUAAGUAGACCGCCUGGGGAGUACGGCCGCAAGGUUAAAACUCAAAUGAAUUGACGGGGGCCCGCACAAGCGGUGGAGCAUGUGGUUUAAUUCGAUGCAACGCGAAGAACCUUACCUGGUCUUGACAUCCACGGAAAUUUUCAGAGAUGAGAAUGUGCCUUCGGGAACCGUGAGACAGGUGCUGCAUGGCUGUCGUCAGCUCGUGUUGUGAAAUGUUGGGUUAAGUCCCGCAACGAGCGCAACCCUUAUCCUUUGUUGCCAGCGAUUAGGUCGGGAACUCAAAGGAGACUGCCAGUGAUAAACUGGAGGAAGGUGGGGAUGACGUCAAGUCAUCAUGGCCCUUACGACCAGGGCUACACACGUGCUACAAUGGCGCAUACAAAGAGAAGCGACCUCGCGAGAGCAAGCGGACCUCAUAAAGUGCGUCGUAGUCCGGAUUGGAGUCUGCAACUCGACUCCAUGAAGUCGGAAUCGCUAGUAAUCGUGGAUCAGAAUGCCACGGUGAAUACGUUCCCGGGCCUUGUACACACCGCCCGUCACACCAUGGGAGUGGGUUGCAAAAGAAGUAGGUAGCUUAACCUUCGGGAGGGCGCUUACCACUUUGUGAUUCAUGACUGGGGUGAAGUCGUAACAAGGUAACCGUAGGGGAACCUGCGGUUGGAUCACCUCCUUACCUUAAAGAAGC